RNAcentral lists this ribosomal RNA (253 nucleotides) under uncultured bacterium. RNAcentral describes it as "partial 16S ribosomal RNA". It matches the Rfam family "Bacterial small subunit ribosomal RNA", at positions 524 to 776 of the family's 1533-position model. The record is from RNAcentral.
UACGGGGGGAGCAAGCGUUGUUCGGAUUUAUUGGGCGUAAAGGGCGCGUAGGCGGCCUGGCAAGUGGAAGGUGAAAUCCCUCGGCUUAACCGAGGAACUGCCCUCCAAACUGCUUGGCUUGAGUCCGGGAGAGGUGAGUGGAAUUCCCAGUGUAGCGGUGAAAUGCGUAGAUAUUGGGAGGAACACCAGUGGCGAAGGCGGCUCACUGGACCGGAACUGACGCUGAGGCGCGAAAGCGUGGGGAGCAAACGGG